Molecule: ribosomal RNA, 674 nt
Filed under: Haloarcula sp.
Lineage: Archaea; Methanobacteriati; Methanobacteriota; Halobacteria; Halobacteriales; Haloarculaceae
Description: bacterial SSU rRNA
Rfam family: Archaeal small subunit ribosomal RNA
Source: RNAcentral
GUGGCAUAUAGCUCAGUAACACGUGGCCAAACUACCCUACAGACCGCGAUAACCUCGGGAAACUGAGGCCAAUAGCGGAUAUAACUCUCAUGCUGGAGUGCCGAGAGUUAGAAACGUUCCGGCGCUGUAGGAUGUGGCUGCGGCCGAUUAGGUAGAUGGUGGGGUAACGGCCCACCAUGCCGAUAAUCGGUACGGGUUGUGAGAGCAAGAACCCGGAGACGGUAUCUGAGACAAGAUACCGGGCCCUACGGGGCGCAGCAGGCGCGAAACCUUUACACUGCACGACAGUGCGAUAGGGGGACUCCGAGUGUGAGGGCAUAUAGCCCUCGCUUUUCUGUACCGUAAGGUGGUACAGGAACAAGGACUGGGCAAGACCGGUGCCAGCCGCCGCGGUAAUACCGGCAGUCCAAGUGAUGGCCGAUAUUAUUGGGCCUAAAGCGUCCGUAGCCGGCCGGACAAGUCCGUUGGGAAAUCGACGCGCUCAACGCGUCGGCGUCCAGCGGAAACUGUCCGGCUUGGGGCCGGAAGACCUGAGGGGUACGUCCGGGGUAGGAGUGAAAUCCUGUAAUCCUGGACGGACCACCAAUGGGGAAACCACCUCAGGAAGACGGACCCGACGGUGAGGGACGAAAGCUAGGGUCUCGAACCGGAUUAGAUACCCGGGUAGUCCUAGC